Neocloeon triangulifer is the source of this 1070-nucleotide long non-coding RNA. RefSeq lists it as uncharacterized. The transcript is spliced from 3 exons. The record is from RefSeq and is a predicted model, not a curated record. Lineage: Eukaryota; Metazoa; Arthropoda; Insecta; Ephemeroptera; Baetidae.
AGAACCUUCCCAUUUAAAAGACAUGGGGAAGGUGGGUGUACCAGGGACUAUAAAAAGGCCCUCUGCCAACUGGCCAGGAUGCUCACUCACACAACACACCAUAUACAUGAGAGAGGAGAUGACCGCAGCAGUUCGACCCGUUGUCCCGCGACCGGCCGACACACCCUCAAAUCACCUCCUGGUCGCUCGGCCAGCCAGUGGAGAGCCGACUUGCUGAGCUACUUGUCUCACCCGACCAGACCGUCAACUUCCUUCCAGGCCCCUGCAAGGCGACCCUGUCUCGUCACUUCGCUCAGGGGGGAAGUCUGGCCUUCGGCGAGAUGGGCAAGGACAGCCUCAACGCCUCGAAGGGCAGAACCUGAGCCACGAUACACGGGACAUCGACGAGCUCCGCCUGAAGACGUCCCAUUUUAACCCUUACAUAUUGUUGACCCCUUUUAUUCCCAAUAUUAUAUACCAAAUAAACCUUCUGGGGCCCUGUCCCACGGAGACAACAACUGCUCAAGAUCUCAGCCCAGCCUCGUCGUCUUCCCCUGUCCUCCGACCCGGUUUUUUCUCAGAAAAAUUUCUAGUUCAUAAAAGUUCAUAUCGUUCAGAAACAUUUUUCAAGUUUUUCUUUAAAAAUAUUUUAAAGUUAAAACGCUUGUAAAUUUUACCAAGUCCACUCGGGCUAGAGAGUCAGCGCGUGAAAGCUGAGAGGAAGUGUUUGUUGAUCCUCGAUAUAGCGCGCCAACGAUAGAGUGCGAGAGAGGAAAAUAUUCUGUCCCCUUGGUUGUUUCCCGGUAUAUAAAAAAUUUAAAGUUUUCUGAGUGAUUUUUUCAAUUAAAUAUUUUUUUUUGCCUCGGACAAAUAAUCAGAAUUCGGAUUAUUUCUGUCAGAAAAUUAACAUUUUUCUGUCAAAUAAUUUGCACAUUUUCUUCAGAAAAAUUUCAAGUUCAUAAAAAUUUUGAGUUCAGAAAAAAAACAUUUAAGUUUUUCAGGCAAGUGGGAUGUAACCAAUGUUUGUUAUGGGGAGACAAAAAAUAUGUAGUCGUGGUGGUCAAAACGUCUUAUUUCCCUUGUAUACUUGU